Molecule: ribosomal RNA, 201 nt
Filed under: uncultured bacterium
Lineage: Bacteria
Description: partial 16S ribosomal RNA
Rfam family: Bacterial small subunit ribosomal RNA
Source: RNAcentral
UACAGAGGUCUCAAGCGUUGUUCGGAUUCAUUGGGCGUAAAAGGGUGCGUAGGCGGCGCGGUAAGUCGGGUGUGAAAUUUCGAGGCUUAACUUCGAAACUGCAUUCGAUACUGCCGUGCUAGAGGACUGGAGAGGAGACUGGAAUUUACGGUGUAGCGGUGAAAAUGCGUAGAUAUCGUAAGGAAGACCAGUGGCGAAGGC